CAGCAGCCACGGGAAUACAGAGGAUGCAAGCGUUAUCCGGAAUGAUUGGGCGUAAAGCGUGCGCAGGCGGUUAUAUAAGUCAGAUGUGAAAUCCCCGGGCUCAACCUGGGGACUGCAUUUGAGACUGUAUGGCUAGAGUGUGUCAGAGGGGGGUAGAAUUCCACGUGUAGCAGUGAAAUGCGUAGAUAUGUGGAGGAAUACCGAUGGCGAAGGCAGCCCCCUGGGAUAACACUGACGCUCAUGCACGAAAGCGUGGGGAGCGAACAGGAUUAGAUACCCCUGUAGUCCCUGUCUCUUAUAC
RNAcentral lists this ribosomal RNA (301 nucleotides) under uncultured bacterium. RNAcentral describes it as "partial 16S ribosomal RNA". It matches the Rfam family "Bacterial small subunit ribosomal RNA", at positions 509 to 807 of the family's 1533-position model. The record is from RNAcentral.